AGUCGUAACAAGGUUUCCGUAGGUGAACCUGCGGAAGGAUCAUUACCGAGUGAGGACCUAACCGGUCCAACCUCCCACCCGUGUCUAUCGUACCUUGUUGCUUCGGCGGGCCCGCCAUUCGUGGCCGCCGGGGGGCAUUUCGCCCCCGGGCCCGCGCCCGCCGGAGACACCAACACGAACACUGUCUGAAGGUUGCAGUCUGAGUCGAUUUAUUUAAUCGUUAAAACUUUCAACAACGGAUCUCUUGGUUCCGGCAUCGAUGAAGAACGCAGCGAAAUGCGAUAAUUAAUGUGAAUUGCAGAAUUCAGUGAAUCAUCGAGUCUUUGAACGCACAUUGCGCCCCCUGGUAUUCCGGGGGGCAUGCCUGUCCGAGCGUCAUUGCUGCCCUCAAGCACGGCUUGUGUGUUGGGUCGCCGUCCCCUUCCCGGGGGACGGGCCCGAAAGGCAGCGGCGGCACCGCGUCCGGUCCUCGAGCGUAUGGGGCUUUGUCACCCGCUCUGUAGGCCCGGCCGGCGCCUGCCGACCACCAACCUUUUUUUAACCAGGUUGACCUCGGAUCAGGUAGGGAUACCCGCUGAACUUAAGCAUAUCAAUAAGCGGAGGA
RNAcentral lists this unclassified non-coding RNA (604 nucleotides) under Aspergillus europaeus. RNAcentral's name for it is "sequence contains 18S rRNA gene, ITS1, 5.8S rRNA gene, ITS2, 28S rRNA gene". The stretch from base 225 to 378 matches the Rfam family "5.8S ribosomal RNA". Lineage: Eukaryota; Fungi; Ascomycota; Eurotiomycetes; Eurotiales; Aspergillaceae. The record is from RNAcentral.